RNAcentral lists this non-coding RNA (41 nucleotides) under Prorocentrum micans. The record is from RNAcentral. Lineage: Eukaryota; Dinophyceae; Prorocentrales; Prorocentraceae.
AGAAAAAAAAAAAAAAAAAAAAAAAAAAAAAACAUUUUUCA